This 254-nucleotide ribosomal RNA is filed under the name uncultured bacterium. RNAcentral's name for it is "partial 16S ribosomal RNA". It matches the Rfam family "Bacterial small subunit ribosomal RNA", at positions 524 to 776 of the family's 1533-position model. The record is from RNAcentral.
UACGUAGGGGGCAAGCGUUGUUCGGAUUUACUGGGCGUAAAGGGCGCGUAGGCGGUCAGCACAAGUCAGUUGUGAAAUCUCCGGGCUUAACUCGGAAAGGUCAACUGAUACUGUGCGACUAGAGUGCAGAAGGGGCAACUGGAAUUCUCGGUGUAGCGGUGAAAUGCGUAGAUAUCGAGAGGAACACCUGCGGCGAAGGCGGGUUGCUGGGCUGACACUGACGCUGAUGCGCGAAAGCCAGGGGAGCGAACCGG